Long non-coding RNA from Helicoverpa armigera (cotton bollworm), 564 nucleotides. RefSeq lists it as uncharacterized. NCBI's taxonomy places the organism in Eukaryota, Metazoa, Arthropoda, Insecta, Lepidoptera, Noctuidae. The transcript has 2 exons. The record is from RefSeq and is a predicted model, not a curated record.
CCUACAGUAUUUAUGAUUAUUAAUAACAGACAAGGUGACAACAACAAUGUAGGUACCUAUAUGUCUUAGGAACAGGACUGACAGAGAUGGUUGCCGCCUAACGCGGAUGUCGAUACCCGAUGUAUAUCAGUAUAUGGGGCAGGUACUAGCUUCAUACGUUACACUGAAGAUCAAGGACACUUUUUAUCUGACGACAAGUAAUCAAGGCGUGGUCGGUGAGGUCUGUAUAUAAGCCGGGACGGAUCGGCAAACAGUAUCACUUGUGACAACAAUCCCAAGUAACUCUACAACCAUGUUCUUCAGACUGUUCGCCCUCUUCGCCGUGUUGGCCGUGGCUUUCGCCAACCCUAAGCCUGAGCCCCAGGUGGUGACCUACGCCGCCGGAGCUGCUGCGUACCCUACGCCUACUCCGCCCCGUCGCCUAUUCUGCUCCCUAUGCCGCCGCUGCCUACCCUACGGAGCAGCAUACUACGUCCGCUAAACCAGAUUCACCAGAUUUACCUACUUGCUCAAUGACACCGACCAAAUGUUUGAUCAUGUUUUAAUAUAAGUUUUUAUGGCAAA